RNAcentral lists this unclassified non-coding RNA (707 nucleotides) under Hevea brasiliensis (rubber tree). Lineage: Eukaryota; Viridiplantae; Streptophyta; Magnoliopsida; Malpighiales; Euphorbiaceae. The record is from RNAcentral.
AGCGAAUCAAAUUUUUAUUAUAGGAGUUGAGAGACUCGCAUGCUUACAUACCAUUGACUUGACCUUCAAAUAAAGAGGGCAGCUGCUCCAUGCUAGAUACACCUACAGCUUUUAUACCAGAAAUCUAGUUUUGAUAAUACGUAACCAUUACAUUUCUUAUAACAGGGAAUAUAUACAAGAUCUUAACCGAUUCAACAUAAGGACACCUAUAGUCUUUGCUAGUACAACAUGCUUCUGUUGCUGACAGAAUGUACAGCUUUCAAACUGAUGGCAUCCCAGUAACAAAUUCCUCAACCAUAAUUACUUUUUUCCAAGGCAAUACAUAUAACAAUAGCAUCAGUUUGUAAUCAAGUCAAGAACUCGUCCACCAUCUUUCUGUGUGUGGUUUUGUCAACUACCUACUAAUACAGAGAAGAUGAGGGACAAUUUCAGAACAACAAAGGAAGAUAUAGGCAAGAACAUAAUGAUUAGAAUAAGGUACAUUAGAGCCUAGCAAACAUCUAACAAAGUUUUGCCAAAAGAGGCAGAGAAUAGAGAUGCUCCAAAUAAUUACAAGUGAAUGAGUUCACUCACCUGAUCAAGAAGAUUGCAGUUGGGUCACCAGGAGAAGGAGGAUUCUGAUUCAGCAGUGACACAUAAGAACCAGCUUUAGCAAACGAAUCAGGGUCAGCCACAGACAAUACUUCCACCUCUUCAAGACCAAUUUG